Molecule: small nuclear RNA, 106 nt
Organism: Molossus molossus (Pallas's mastiff bat)
Lineage: Eukaryota; Metazoa; Chordata; Mammalia; Chiroptera; Molossidae
Source: RefSeq, a predicted model, not a curated record
GUGCUCCUUCGGCAGCACAUCCACUGCAAUUGGAACGAUACGGAGAAGAUUAGCGUGGCCCCUGCGCGAGGAUGACACGCGAGUUCGUGAAGCGUUCCAUGUAUUU